RNAcentral lists this transfer RNA (50 nucleotides) under Distichlis spicata (saltgrass). RNAcentral describes it as "partial tRNA-Leu". Lineage: Eukaryota; Viridiplantae; Streptophyta; Magnoliopsida; Poales; Poaceae. The record is from RNAcentral.
AAAAUCCGUCGACUUUAUAAGUCGKGUGGGUUCAAGUCCCUCUAUCCCCA